This is a long non-coding RNA of Solanum lycopersicum (tomato), 1331 nucleotides long. RefSeq lists it as uncharacterized. The record is from RefSeq and is a predicted model, not a curated record. NCBI's taxonomy places the organism in Eukaryota, Viridiplantae, Streptophyta, Magnoliopsida, Solanales, Solanaceae.
AAUAACAUAAAAGGAUAAAGAAUAGACCAAAAGUGGUCUGCAUUGAACGAGAGAAAAAAACAAAAAAAAGCAAAACAAAAAUGAAAAGCUUAAAAAGGAAAUCUACAUUUCAUGUUCUUGGGUAUUUUGCCCAAACUGUCACAUCUUCUCCGAUUAAAAUCCAGCUUGCAGAUCUCCAUUCAUGUAUCAUCACUACCACACAAACUAUAAUCUAUAAGACACACAGAUUUGGUGUGUAAUCAUUUUAUCGGUAAAUUUCUCAUUAACACUAUGAUUCGACCAAUGAUGACUUCUUCAGUUUGAGUGGCAUAGAUCUAAAUUUCAAUAGAGAUACGAGAUGUUUUAGAGUAUUUCUGUUCAUUUUCCUUUGAAAUAGCCUUAAAUUUACGGUCUCAGAAGCUGCCAAAACUUCAUCCCAGCUAAAUUGAGCGUAAUCCAGAUAAGUCUUCCACCCCUUCAAUUGACAUAUUUUUUUCUUGGGUUCUCACAUUUAAUUUAUCCUCCCAGCAAGUUGAACCCCUAAAGGAGUUGAUACCAUUUCUCAAGACAACAAAUAAACAGAUGAAAAUGGGAGAGAUAUGGGCUUCGGAGGAUGAAAUGGAGGAAAGAAGAGAAAGAGAAAGCCAUUGAAGCAAUUCAACAAAUUAAACAGAUAGCAUGUGGUGACACUAAUUCAAGAAAAUCUCAGUGGAGAAGAGCACAGGCAUCUGCAGAUUGCAUACUGAGGAAUCCCAUGCUACUGUCCCUAAAAUACAGAACACAAUCUCAAAACAGAAGAAUCAUCAAAAUGUGGAGUGCAUCAAGUGUACAACCGAAUUUGAAUUUCCCUCAGCCCUAGCUAGUCUCCAGCAUAUCAGGUGCCAAGGAUUGAUGUGAAAUUUGCAUACUCCAGCUUUACAGGUUGUUGCUUUUGCAAAAUCUUUUCAGGAAGAGGUGGGUUUUGCAAAAUGGCUUCACAAUGGUGUGAAUAUUUUACAAGUUCCAUAAUGCAGGUGCAGGCACAGGUUGAUGCUAGAGCUACAGGAUCAUUCAUCCAGACAUGGUGCAGGCACAGGUUGACACUAGAGAUAAAUGAUAAAGGUUUCAGCUAUUCGGACGUCAAGCAUUCAUCUAGACUUGGCACAGGUUGAUGCUAGAGAUACAGGAUCAACGCUACAGCUAUCCGGACGUCGAGCAUUCAGCCUGACUUGGUAAGACCUCAUGCUUUCGAGGAUGCUUGCCCAUUAAAUUCUAUCUUAGUUAUAAGAGUAGCUAGUGGAGUUUGUUCCACUAGCGUUUCUUUCCGCUUUUGUUCAAACAUUGUAUUGGUGCCAUUUUUGCAAGUAUACAUU